Molecule: non-coding RNA, 71 nt
Organism: Ameiurus melas (black bullhead)
Lineage: Eukaryota; Metazoa; Chordata; Actinopteri; Siluriformes; Ictaluridae
Source: the annotation of a GenBank genome assembly
AGUGGUAGUUCAGUGGUUAGUAUGUUAGACUUGUGAUUGGAAGGUCAUGAGUUCAAAUACCGGCAACACCA